Molecule: long non-coding RNA, 310 nt
Organism: Strongylocentrotus purpuratus (purple sea urchin)
Lineage: Eukaryota; Metazoa; Echinodermata; Echinoidea; Camarodonta; Strongylocentrotidae
Exons: 3
Source: RefSeq, a predicted model, not a curated record
AUUACCUUUCUAUUGACUCAGUUAUUUGAUUUAGAAUUUGCGACUCGGUUUGUAACAUGUCGUCAUAAAUCGUAAUACUGUCUUACUUUUCCACCAGAAGGGAAAUCAAAGGCUCAACUUCAAGUGCCACAGAUGGAAACUCUGCAUGGUCACGUAGUGGAGGACGCACCAUAUUACCACCAGGGGGAUGAAGUGUUUCUAGAAAGUUCUGGGCAAUCAGAUAAAAUCAAAGAAGAAAAGAUGGACAGUGCAAUGGACAAUGGUCUCUGUUUCAAGCCUUCCAUGUCUGUGCAAAUUUGUAAACAAGAAG